CUCUUGUAUGAAAGGACAGAAGGUUAGCAUUCCCCUUGAUAAGGAGUGAAGAGGUCCUAGUGACCUUUACAACACAUAUGGUUAAGGCAUUGCCAGGGGUGGCUCUAGGCACCAGCAAAACAAGCUGGUGC
Molecule: small nuclear RNA, 131 nt
Organism: Mauremys reevesii (Reeves's turtle)
Lineage: Eukaryota; Metazoa; Chordata; Testudines; Geoemydidae
Source: RefSeq, a predicted model, not a curated record